GAAAGUUUUAUUUUUGUUUUAAAAAUUAGAUUAAAUUUUGUAUUUAUAUGUAAAUUUUUGUGUGAUAAUAAAUUAUUUUUUUAAAAAAAAUAAAUAUAGUAUAUAUUCGCAGUAAAUAAUUUUAAAAAUUAAUGAAAAUUAGAUUUAGAGAAGUUUAUAGUAUUAACUAAAUUUGUGCCAGCAGUUGCGGUUAUACAAAUAAUACAUUUUAAUUUUUUUUAGUAUUAAUACAUUUUAUAUAAAAAAUUUUAAGGAAAGGUUUAUAAAGUGAAAUUUUUAAAUUUUUUAAUAAAUUGAUUUAUGGAAAUUAUUUAAUAAAUUUAUUAAUAGACUAGGAUUAGAUACCCUAUUAUUAUAAACGUAAAUUUGUACUAGAUUAGUAGUAGUUAUGUUCUUGAAAAUUAAAAAAUUUGGCGGUAUUUUAGUCUAUUCAGAGGAACCUGUUCUAUAAUUGAUAGUCCACGAGUUAUUUUACCUUUAUUAUUAAUUUGUAUAUCGUCGUAGUUUGAAUAUUUUAGGAGAAUUUAAAUAUUCAAAAUUUAAAUUUUAUUUAGAGGAAAUCAGAUCAAGGUAUAGUUUAUAUAAAGGAAGAAAUGGGUUACAUUAAUUUUAAUUGAGGAUAAUAGAUUGAAAAUUUAUUUGAAUAAGGAUUUGAAAGUAAUUUUUUUAGAUAAGAAAAAUGAUUUUAGCUCUAAAAUAUGUACAUAUCGCCCGUCGCUUUCAUCCCAAGGUGAAAUAAGUCGUAACAAAGUAGGCUUACUGGAAAGUGAGCCUAGAAAGAU
This 782-nucleotide non-coding RNA is filed under the name Aristobia reticulator. The record is from RNAcentral. Lineage: Eukaryota; Metazoa; Arthropoda; Insecta; Coleoptera; Cerambycidae.